Molecule: ribosomal RNA, 539 nt
Filed under: Vagococcus salmoninarum
Lineage: Bacteria; Bacillati; Bacillota; Bacilli; Lactobacillales; Enterococcaceae
Description: bacterial SSU rRNA
Rfam family: Bacterial small subunit ribosomal RNA
Source: RNAcentral
AGAGUUUGAUCAUGGCUCAGGACGAACGCUGGCGGCGUGCCUAAUACAUGCAAGUCGAACGCACGAAGUUGAAGAGCUUGCUCUUUAACCUAGUGAGUGGCGGACGGGUGAGUAACACGUGGGUAACCUGCCCAUUAGAGGGGGAUAACACUUGGAAACAGGUGCUAAUACCGCAUAAUUAUUUUAGCCGCAUGGCUGAGAUAUGAAAGACGCUUUCGGGUGUCACUAAUGGAUGGACCCGCGCUGCAUUAGUUAGUUGGUGAGGUAAUGGCUCACCAAGACCGUGAUGCAUAGCCGACCUGAGAGGGUGAUCGGCCACACUGGGACUGAGACACGGCCCAGACUCCUACGGGAGGCAGCAGUAGGGAAUCUUCGGCAAUGGACGAAAGUCUGACCGAGCAACGCCGCGUGAGUGAAGAAGGUUUUCGGAUCGUAAAACUCUGUUGUUAGAGAAGAACAAGUGGGAGAGUAACUGUUCCCACCUUGACGGUAUCUAACCAGAAAGCCACGGCUAACUACGUGCCAGCAGCCGCGGUAAU